RNAcentral lists this non-coding RNA (75 nucleotides) under Betaproteobacteria bacterium. RNAcentral's name for it is "Fluoride sequence". It matches the Rfam family "Fluoride riboswitch aptamer (crcB RNA motif)". The record is from RNAcentral. Lineage: Bacteria; Pseudomonadati; Pseudomonadota; Betaproteobacteria.
CCAGCACAAGGAGAUGGCAUUCCUCCUUUAAGCUCCAACAAAACCGCCUGUCAGGCUGAUGAUGCCUACGGUUUU